UACAGAGGUCCCAAGCGUUGUUCGGAUUUACUGGGCGUAAAGGGUGCGUAGGCGGCGAGGAAAGUUUGAGGUGAAAUCUCCAGGCUCAACUUGGAAAAUGCCUUGAAGACUUCCUUGCUAGAGGAUCGCAGAGGAGACUGGAAUUCUCGGUGUAGCAGUGAAAUGCGUAGAUAUCGAGAGGAACACCAGUGGCGAAAGCGGGUCUCUGGGCGAUACCUGACGCUGAGGCACGAAAGCCAGGGGAGCAAACGGG
This 253-nucleotide ribosomal RNA is filed under the name uncultured bacterium. Its description in RNAcentral is "partial 16S ribosomal RNA". It matches the Rfam family "Bacterial small subunit ribosomal RNA", at positions 524 to 776 of the family's 1533-position model. The record is from RNAcentral.